RNAcentral lists this ribosomal RNA (441 nucleotides) under uncultured bacterium. RNAcentral's name for it is "partial 16S ribosomal RNA". It matches the Rfam family "Bacterial small subunit ribosomal RNA", at positions 339 to 795 of the family's 1533-position model. The record is from RNAcentral.
CUACGGGAGGCACCAGUCGAGAAUAUUCGGCAAUGGGCGAAAGCCUGACCGAGCGACGCCGCGUGCAGGAUGACAGCCUUCGGGUUGUAAACUGCUUUUCUAAGGGAAGAAUUUGUGACGGUACCUUAGGAAUAAGAGGUUGCUAACUCUGUGCCAGCAGCAGCGGUAAUACAGAGACCUCAAGCGUUAUCCGGAUUUAUUGGGCGUAAAGGGUGUGUAGGCGGUUUAGAUAGUCAGAUGUUAAAUCACCGAGCUCAACUCGGUGGCCGCAUUUGAAACGUCUAAACUAGAGACAGGCAGAGGCUAGUGGAACUCAUGGUGUAGCAGUGAAAUGCGUUGAUAUCAUGGGGAACACCAAAGGCGAAGGCAUCUAGCUGGGCCUGUUCUGACGCUGAGACACGAAAGCGUGGGUAGCGAAUGGGAUUAGAUACCCUCGUAGUC